GGGCAUAUGGUGUAGGGGUUAUCACGUUCGCUUUGCAUUUAGAGAUGCGAAAGAUCUGCGAAAGGUCUCCGGUUCAAAUCCGGAUUUGUCCA
This 92-nucleotide transfer RNA is filed under the name Lentinula edodes (shiitake mushroom). Its description in RNAcentral is "tRNA-Ala". It matches the Rfam family "tRNA". From Rfam's summary of the family: Transfer RNA (tRNA) molecules are approximately 80 nucleotides in length. Their secondary structure includes four short double-helical elements and three loops (D, anti-codon, and T loops). The record is from RNAcentral. Lineage: Eukaryota; Fungi; Basidiomycota; Agaricomycetes; Agaricales; Omphalotaceae.